GACGAACGCUGGCGGCGUGCUUAACACAUGCAAGUCGAACGGAAAGGCCCUGCUUUUGUGGGGUGCUCGAGUGGCGAACGGGUGAGUAACACGUGAGUAACCUGCCCCUGACUUUGGGAUAACUUCAGGAAACUGGGGCUCAUACCCGAUAGGAGCUCCUGCUGCAUGGUGGGGGUUGGAAAGUUUCGGCGGUUGGGGAUGGACUCGCGGCUUAUCAGCUUGUUGGUGGGGUAGUGGCUUACCAAGGCUUUGACGGCUAGCCGGCAUGAGAGGUGGACCGGGCACAUGGGGACUGAGGGACGGCGCAGUCUGCUACGUGAGGCAGCAGUGGGGAAUAUUGCACAAUGGGCGGAAGCCUGAUGCGGAGACGCCGCGUGCGGGAUGACGGCUUUCUGGGUGAGAACCGCUGUCGCAUGUGACGAAGCGUGAGUGACGGUAAUGGGUAAAGAAGCACCGGCUAACUACGUG
This 468-nucleotide ribosomal RNA is filed under the name uncultured bacterium. RNAcentral describes it as "partial 16S ribosomal RNA". It matches the Rfam family "Bacterial small subunit ribosomal RNA", at positions 28 to 507 of the family's 1533-position model. The record is from RNAcentral.